This 256-nucleotide ribosomal RNA is filed under the name uncultured bacterium. Its description in RNAcentral is "partial 16S ribosomal RNA". It matches the Rfam family "Bacterial small subunit ribosomal RNA", at positions 1247 to 1500 of the family's 1533-position model. The record is from RNAcentral.
CAGCGAAGCCGCGAGGCGGAGGCAAAUCUCCAAAAAAAUAGUCUCAGUUCAGAUUGCAGGCUGCAACUCGCCUGCAUGAAGUCGGAAUUGCUAGUAAUCGUAGGUCAGCAUACUACGGUGAAUACGUUCCCGGGCCUUGUACACACCGCCCGUCAAACCAUGAGAGUUGGCAACACCCGAAGUCGGUAGUCUAACCGCAAGGAGGACGCCGCCGAAGGUGGGGUCGAUGAUUAGGGUUAAGUCGUAACAAGGUACC